UAGGGAAUAUUGGACAAUGGGUGAGAGCCUGAUCCAGCCAUGCCGCGUGCAGGAAGAAGGCGUUAUGCGUUGUAAACUGCUUUUUGCCAGGGGAUAAAAAGACCGUGCGCGGUUAAUUGAAGGUACCUGGUGAAUAAGCCACGGCUAACUACGUGCCAGCAGCCGCGGUAAUACGUAGGUGGCAAGCGUUGUCCGGAUUUAUUGGGUUUAAAGGGUGCGUAGGUGGCCCUGUAAGUCAGUGGUGAAAUAUCUCAGCUUAACUGAGAGGGUGCCGUUGAUACUGCAGGGCUUGAGUACAGAUGAGGUAGGCGGAAUUGACGGUGUAGCGGUGAAAUGCAUAGAUAUCGUCAAGAACACCGAUAGCGAAGGCAGCUUACCAAGCUGUAACUGACACUGAGGCACGAAAGUGUGGGGAUCAAACAGGAUUAGAUACCCGGGUAGUCCCUGAGCGGGCUGGCAAGGCGCAU
RNAcentral lists this ribosomal RNA (467 nucleotides) under uncultured bacterium. Its description in RNAcentral is "bacterial SSU rRNA". It matches the Rfam family "Bacterial small subunit ribosomal RNA", at positions 355 to 825 of the family's 1533-position model. The record is from RNAcentral.